Molecule: ribosomal RNA, 85 nt
Filed under: Cebus imitator (Panamanian white-faced capuchin)
Lineage: Eukaryota; Metazoa; Chordata; Mammalia; Primates; Cebidae
Source: RNAcentral
GUCUGUGAUGAUACCACCCUGGCUGUGUCUGAUCUCAGAAGCUACGCAGAGUUGGGCCUGUUAGUACUUGAGGGUAUCUUUCACA